GGUUGUCAUGCCAAUGGCACUGCCCGGUAGCUAAAUGCGGAAGAGAUAAGUGCUGAAAGCAUCUAAGCACGAAACUUGCCCCGAGAUGAGUUCUCCCUGAGACUUUAAGUCUCCUGAAGGAACGUUGAAGACGACGACGUUGAUAGGCCGGGUGUGUAAGCGCAGCGAUGCGUUGAGCUAACCGGUACUAAUGAACCGUGAGGCUUAACCUU
This 212-nucleotide ribosomal RNA is filed under the name Escherichia coli. RNAcentral describes it as "partial 23S ribosomal RNA". It matches the Rfam family "Bacterial large subunit ribosomal RNA", at positions 2719 to 2925 of the family's 2925-position model. The record is from RNAcentral. Lineage: Bacteria; Pseudomonadati; Pseudomonadota; Gammaproteobacteria; Enterobacterales; Enterobacteriaceae. RNAcentral also lists the same sequence under 3 other names.